GACGAACGCUGGCGGCGUGCUUAACACAUGCAAGUCGAGCGGUAAGGCCCUUUCGGGGGUACACGAGCGGCGAACGGGUGAGUAACACGUGGGUGACCUGCCCUCAGCUCCGGGAUAAGCCUGGGAAACCGGGUCUAAUACUGGAUAUGACUCCAUGACGCAUGUUGUGGGGGUGGAAAGCCUUGUGCGGCUGAGGAUGGGCCCGCGGCCUAUCAGCUUGUUGGUGGGGUGAUGGCCUACCAAGGCGACGACGGGUAGCCGGCCUGAGAGGGCGACCGGCCACACUGGGACUGAGACACGGCCCAGACUCCUACGGGAGGCAGCAGUGGGGAAUCUUGCGCAAUGGGCGAAAGCCUGACGCAGCGACGCCGCGUGAGGGAUGACGGCCUGUGU
This 393-nucleotide ribosomal RNA is filed under the name uncultured bacterium. RNAcentral's name for it is "bacterial SSU rRNA". It matches the Rfam family "Bacterial small subunit ribosomal RNA", at positions 28 to 421 of the family's 1533-position model. The record is from RNAcentral.